CUACGGGAUGCUCCAGUGAGGAAUAUUGCACAAUGGGGGGAACCCUGAUGCAGCAACGCCGCGUGGAGGAUGACGCAUUUCGGUGUGUAAACUCCUUUUAUAUGUCAAGAAAAUGACGGUAGCAUAUGAAUAAGCGCCGGCUAACUCCGUGCCAGCAGCCGCGGUAAUACGGAGGGCGCAAGCGUUACUCGGAAUCACUGGGCGUAAAGGACGCGUAGGCGGGUUGAAAAGUCAGGUGUGAAAGCCUACAGCUUAACUGUAGAACUGCACUUGAAACUUCUAAUCUAGAGUAUGGGAGGGGGAGAUGGAAUUAGUGGUGUAGGGGUAAAAUCCGUAGAUAUCACUAGGAAUACCUAAAGCGAAGGCGAUCUCCUGGAACAUUACUGACGCUAAGGCGUGAAAGCGUGGGGAGCAAACAGGAUUAGAUACCCGUGUAGUC
Molecule: ribosomal RNA, 439 nt
Filed under: uncultured bacterium
Lineage: Bacteria
Description: partial 16S ribosomal RNA
Rfam family: Bacterial small subunit ribosomal RNA
Source: RNAcentral